UACGUAGGUGGCAAGCGUUGUCCGGAUUUAUUGGGUUUAAAGGGUGCGUAGGCGGCAUUUUAAGUCAGUGGUGAAAUACUUCAGCUUAACUGGAGAGGUGCCAUUGAUACUGGGAUGCUUGAGUACUGAUGAGGUAGGCGGAAUGGGCGGUGUAGCGGUGAAAUGCUUAGAUAUCGUCCAGAACACCGAUAGCGAAGGCAGCGUACUAAGGAGUAACUGACGCUGAGGCACGAAAGUGUGGGGAUCAAACAGG
RNAcentral lists this ribosomal RNA (253 nucleotides) under uncultured bacterium. Its description in RNAcentral is "partial 16S ribosomal RNA". It matches the Rfam family "Bacterial small subunit ribosomal RNA", at positions 524 to 776 of the family's 1533-position model. The record is from RNAcentral.